Long non-coding RNA from Brassica napus (rape), 4096 nucleotides. RefSeq lists it as uncharacterized. The transcript has 2 exons. The record is from RefSeq and is a predicted model, not a curated record. NCBI's taxonomy places the organism in Eukaryota, Viridiplantae, Streptophyta, Magnoliopsida, Brassicales, Brassicaceae.
UAUAUUAAAAGGGCUUGAGGGAGGCUUUUUAGAGUGUCCACGUCGGACAGGAAAAUAGUCCAAUCAGAACAUUUCCUUUUGCCACGUCAUGUACUUUUUUUGGUUUAUGAUUGUACGUUGGGGCUCUUUCUAACAGUUAAGGUGGGCUUCUGUAGGGGCUCUCUCUAAAAAAAUGAUUGGCCCACCCAGCUCUUACUUCUUCGUCUUCAAGUUUUGGAAGUCUCUCCCGACGAUUUCACUUCAUCUUCUCCAAUCCCUAAUUUUUUUUUCACCGUUACCUUAUCAUCAAUGACUAUGUUAAAGCCAUUCUUCAAUGUUUUGUUCCAUCUCCCCUUCAUACUUCUCCUAUAUAAAGCUCUCUUUCUAAACUUAGAUCCAUCCUAAAUCGAAAAAAUUACUCUGCAGAAACGAUAUCCAUGGCAAUGAAAUCCACCACGAAGUCUCAGCUAGCCACCGGUAAAUCUCCCGUCGCCAUGUACUUCAACGACAUCUCGCCGGGACUUUCUGAGUCACAGCUUCGAUUCCGAUUGAUCCAUUUUUGGGAGGCAAAGAACAUCGCCAAAGGUGGAACUUUAAUUGGGGUUGGUAUGGGGUUACCCAACUCAACAGCUUCUGUGCGUAACUUCAUCAAAGCCUCGAAAGUAACCACUUGAAGCUCAAUAGUAUAAAUGUGUUUUGUCUGUGUGAUGAAGAGCCACACAGCUACGAUGGAGAGAUACUUCGAUGAUAUUUAUAAUUUUGCUGGAAAUAAUAGUUCAUCAUCGCUGCCAUAGUCAAUCCUCGCUGUCGUACGAUCGACAAGUUCAGAUCAUUGAGAGGUAGCAAAAUGUUUACUUGCAAUGAUCAACGCAUAAUUGCUCUUGAAUUGGACACAGGUGCAAGUCGACUACAAAGUCUUGAGCAAUUGAUGGGCCAUUUUACAGUGAAGAUCCAAUGUCCCUACUUCCCAUGUUUUGUUUGUCUGUUGGUAUUUUCUGUAAUGGAAGUGUCAAUCUUUUGGUAGGGAACUGUUAAAUCUUCUUUCUUUUUUUUGUAAAAAGGCCUACAAAACUGUUAACUCUUCACAAAGCAUUUUUGAGGUUUAAUUCUUUUUCUUUUUACUCCUCUCUAUCUAAUCUAAGUGUGUAUGCCUAUCAUAUUUGUCUCAGUUAGUUCAGGCAGCAGUUGUGGUAGAAGACAUGAUUAAGACAGAGUGCUUGAAAAAUGAACUGUGGUAUUGUUCUUCUCUUUUAGCUGCUGUCAAAAUGCUUUAUGGGCUAACUGUCCAUCUCUUCACCCUCGAUGCAGCUAUUAUAUAUUACAAUAAAACCAUAACUCAAUCAGAUAUGGAUGAGACAAAGCCAAUCGGCUUACCAGGUCAGAAGUCACAACCCGUUUCGGAUCCACAAGAAAGAAGCAGUAGAGGUAAGUGCGGGAAACACAGUAGAAAAGCUUCAGGGCGCGUGCAAAAACGGAGGCUUCUUUAUCAAACUAGAUUCAACGUGUGUUUAUGUGUAGCAGUGUAGAUAUAUGUAAUAUUGUAGCAGUGGAUGGCCCGAGAGAAUGUGUACUGUGUACACAUACAUAUAUGUAGAAGACUAACUAAUGUGGUUUUAAUUAGUAUCAAAACAAUUGUUUCGAUAUAUGCUAAGCUGAUGUUAGGACGAAAACUUAGAUUCUUUGUAAAUUUCUCUCUGUAUAAACAGUGGUUGGAUGAUUAUAAGAGGCUUCAAUCUUUCUUUUUCUUCAUUUAUGGAUUUAAGCCUUGCCUUAAACUAAAAAAUUUCAAAUAAGUAUAAGAAAUUAUUUUGAACCAGCAUACAAAAUUUAAAUCGGUAUUAUUUAAUGCUAUAUAAUUUUCUUUAUUAUAGUUACUUUGUUGUAUUAUUCAUAUAUAAUAGAAAACCGGAAUUUGCAUAAUAAUGUUUCUCUUGCAUUUAGGUUAAAACAUGUAUUCAGAGUAUUGUUCAUCCCACUAAAGAAAAUUAAAAGUAGAAGUUUGUAAUCUUGGAAAACUAGAGUUCAACUGGUUGACUAUAGUUGAAGAAAGGAAUACUACGUUCCAGUUCAUUCCCAGAUUAUUUUACCAUUUGCAAAGAAAAUUUAUUACUUAUAAGGCUUACUAAUUCCCCAUCGUUCCUUUUCUAUAAAGAACUAUGGCACAAAUAUAUUCCAUAUCAAAUCAUACAAGGAACAAUUAUUCCUUCAGUUUUUUUCUUAUAGUUCCCUUAGAUUUUUUUUUCACUUAAAUUGUCACCAAUUGGACCUUAAAUUACAUCAUUUAACCUUUCAAAAACAAUAGGUUUGCAAAAUGUAUACGAAAAAAUCAGUCAAAAAAAUGUAUACGAAAAAGUAUUAAUGGAUUCAAAAAAUGUAUAAGAAGGAAAAAUAAUUUAUGAUUUAUGUAUUGAAUUUUAAAUAUAGUUCUGAAUAAUUUUAUUUAUUUAAUAAAUAUAGAAUAAAAAUUGAAAAACAAAAUAUAAUCGCAUUAAUUAAAUAGGAAAAUCUUCUUAUUAAUUAGAAAAGCAUGUGUUUUCUAACAAGACUAACAAAUAACAAAAAUAAAAUAAAAUUUAAUAUUACUUUCAAUAGACAAUAAAUUAAAUAUUUUUAAAUGUAUAUUAAAACUUAAAAAAUUACUCACAAAAUGGUUAGUUGGAAAAACACACAUAGUAUUCUAAUAAACUACUACUUCAUUGAUUUAUAUUUUUUUUAAAGGGCUUUUGACUACUAUUUCAGUUAUUUACUGCUUUUACAUUAACUAUUUAAUUAGUUUCAGGAGGUACAACCAAAUGAUAAUGGUCUGAGGAUGCUGCUACCAUCGAAGUAGAUUUGACCAACAAUCAAGAAAUUAGAGCCUAAGCACAUAUCUGCCCCUCAUAUUAACAUGCACAAAUCAAAGAGCUUAUGUUCAAAAAGUCUUAAGAGCACACAGUGACAAUAUGGAAAGCAAUAUCUGAACAAAAAACUAUACUAUACUAAAAGCCAAAUAUACUCACGAUUUAGCAUGUCCACGUAGGACUUAAAAUUCAGGCCAAUCAGAUUGCUUCAUCUCUCCACAUCACCACCACACGUUUGGAUCAUAGAAGAUGAUUUUCGUUUAGUUUUUGGGCUUUUGUUUUAAUCUGACCAAGCCCAGUUGAGACUAGGAAUUUAUUUCAUUUUUGCAUUAUUGAAAGUCUUUUUUUUCUUUAUUGAAUGUGGGAAAUCAAACGCCGUAAUUCUUCACAACUCACCGAUUCCGGCUGAUGUCUAUGUAACGCCUUCAUUUAUGUCACUUAAUCAAAGCAUCUAUACUAUAAGUUAUUUUCAAUCCAAUCAAAAUGUUGACAUUAAUUAUUGUCCACAAAUGAUGAUUUAAUAAAAUACAUAAUAAUUUAUUUACUUAAUUAUUUUUUCCAAGUCUCAUCAAACCAAGGCCAAUCAAAAUAAAGAAGAAUAAAUCUUAUGAAUGGUUUCUCUUUUUUUAAGUACCAAACUUUAGCUUAGAUUAAAAAAGAAUGAUGGAAGAAUUUCUAAUAAAAAUAGAAACAAAUUAUUCACAAAAAUCAGUCAUAGUUAACAAAAUAUAUGUAUAAUUGACAAAAAAAAAACAUCUAAUGUGACACUUAAGGCUAUAUCUAAAUAUCAUCACCACAGACAAAAUAUGUGCAAACUUAGAGACUAAAAAAAAGUUACUAAUCAAGACGAUACCAAAACAAUGGAGUAAUGCAUCAGCUACUUAACCGCUGCCAACUAAUCAUCCUAUCUUUUGUCUAUCUUUUGUUGAUUAGCCAUAUCAUUAGAACCACAUUACUAAAUGCUCUCAACGGAACCAAAUCACCACCCAAACAGAAUCUCACAGAGCAAACUAAAAACAAAAAUAAACAAAUACAAUCAAUUAAAAAGCGUAGUAUAAUUAGAGAAUGAAGUGGAAUAAUAUGAAAUUAAUGAUAUUUGAUCAUUAACCUCCCAUUUUUUUAAAAAAAAAAUAUUAGGACAAAAUAACAACCCAAAAAUGAGAUUUAUUGCAUGGAGUACGAGUUAGAAAACUUGAGUGUUACUCAUCCGUUUUACAAGCAAGUAAAGCUAUAAUAUUAUGCCAUCCAAACAAUAUAAACAAUUAAUAAGAUCAUCA